RNAcentral lists this ribosomal RNA (333 nucleotides) under Triticum aestivum (bread wheat). Its description in RNAcentral is "partial small subunit ribosomal RNA". Lineage: Eukaryota; Viridiplantae; Streptophyta; Magnoliopsida; Poales; Poaceae. The record is from RNAcentral.
AUAACACCUCGAGAUGCUUCUUUCACAACCGUGCACGAAAGAAUUCAAGAUGAGAGGUUUUGGCCUCAUUUCAAAGGUGCCAUUGGUGCAAUAGAUGGUUGCCACAUUCCAGUUACAGUACGAGCGGAUGAGGUUGUUAACUACACAGGUCGACAUGGAUUUCCAUCACAAAAUGUUAUGGCGGUUUGCGAUUUUGACAUGAGGUUUACUUUUAUUGUGGUUGGUUGGCCCGGUUCAGCACAUGACACAAGGAUCUUAAAUGAUAGCUUGGUCAAGUAUGCAGAUAAGUUCCCUACACCUCCAGCAGGUACUAAUAUAUGUUGCACCCAUUAG